RNAcentral lists this ribosomal RNA (475 nucleotides) under uncultured bacterium. Its description in RNAcentral is "bacterial SSU rRNA". It matches the Rfam family "Bacterial small subunit ribosomal RNA", at positions 335 to 801 of the family's 1533-position model. The record is from RNAcentral.
ACUCCUACGGGAGGCAGCAGUAGGGAAUCUUCCACAAUGGGCGCAAGCCUGAUGGAGCAACACCGCGUGAGUGAAGAAGGGUUUCGGCUCGUAAAGCUCUGUUGUUAAAGAAGAACACGUAUGAGAGUAACUGUUCAUACGUUGACGGUAUUUAACCAGAAAGUCACGGCUAACUACGUGCCAGCAGCCGCGGUAAUACGUAGGUGGCAAGCGUUAUCCGGAUUUAUUGGGCGUAAAGAGAGUGCAGGCGGUUUUCUAAGUCUGAUGUGAAAGCCUUCGGCUUAACCGGAGAAGUGCAUCGGAAACUGGAUAACUUGAGUGCAGAAGAGGGUAGUGGAACUCCAUGUGUAGCGGUGGAAUGCGUAGAUAUAUGGAAGAACACCGAGUGGCGAAGGCGGCUACCUGGUCUGCAACUGACGCUGAGACUCGAAAGCAUGGGUAGCGAACAGGAUUAGAUACCCCUGGUAGGAUAGCG